This 253-nucleotide ribosomal RNA is filed under the name uncultured bacterium. RNAcentral's name for it is "partial 16S ribosomal RNA". It matches the Rfam family "Bacterial small subunit ribosomal RNA", at positions 524 to 776 of the family's 1533-position model. The record is from RNAcentral.
GACGAACCGAGCGAACGUUGUUCGGAAUCAUUGGGCGUAAAGCGCACGUAGGCGGCGCUGCAAGUCGGACGUGAAAUCCCUCGGCUCAACCGAGGACGUGCAUCCGAAACUGCAGUGCUCGAGUAUGGAAGAGGAUCGCGGAAUUCCCGGUGUAGAGGUGAAAUUCGUAGAUAUCGGGAGGAACACCUGUGGCGAAGGCGGCCAGCUGGGCUGGACCUGACGCUGAGGCACGAAGGCGUGGGGAGCGAACGGG